This is a long non-coding RNA of Esox lucius (northern pike), 1117 nucleotides long. Lineage: Eukaryota; Metazoa; Chordata; Actinopteri; Esociformes; Esocidae. The record is from Ensembl.
UGGGCAUGAAACAAUUGUACAAUGUGCCAUUUGAACGGAACAGCGACAGAGUGAAGGAGAUCCGUCACCAGUAUGUACAGCAUGUACUGGAGCUGGAGGCCAGGGAACCGCUGCACACAUUCAUAUACCUUGAUGAGGCGGGUUUCAAUUUGGCAAAAGGUAGAAGACGUGGUAAGGAAUCGGAUUGGACAGAGAGCAACCAUUGAUGUCCCAGGCCAACGAGGAGGGAAUAUUACUAUGUGUGCCCCCAUCUCAGAAAACGGCAUCCUCACCCAUAUCCCCUGUCUUGGUCCAUACAACACACAACAUCUGCUGACUUUUUUAGACACUCUUUACAGGGACAUAAUCCCUGAGAAUGAGAGAGGUCUAACAGGAUACCAUCUGAACAAGCAUGUUGUUGUUUUGGAUAAUGUGCGUUUUCACCACACAGAUGUUGCCAGACUGUGGUUUGCAGCACAUAAUAGGAUUCUGGUGGAAUAUCUCCCUCCCUACUCACCAUUCCUGAAUCCAACAGAGGAGUUGUUCUCUUCCUGGAGGUGGAAGACCACAUGACCUUCUCCCAUUCCUCCUCUGGAUCAUCCAGAUGGUCAUUGGCAAACUUCAGACAUGCCUGGACAUGCAGUGGCUUGAACAGGGGGAUUUAACAGUUUUUUCUGAUGGCUGUAGAUGUAGUGAUUGUAUGAGUUAGUGAACUGUUAUAAGCUGUUGUAACCAAUGAAUCAAAAUAUUAAAUGUUUGUAAUAUGAGCUGAAACUGAAGGAGCAAGUAGGAGAAUAGGAAACCCUGUUUAAGCAGUUGCCGGCGAGAGAAAGAUUUAGUAUGUCUGUCUUUUAAGAAACAGGACACAGGUUAGAGACACACACACAUAGUCUGACAGGCCAGACAGAAACCAGGAGGGGACAAGAAGAUGUUUGCGUUUAUCCUUAUAAGGAAUAGAACUGGAACUGGACCAAUAGCACACUUGUUUUGUGAAUUUAACGACUCUAUCUUUUGGGCGUAGUAGAAGUAUAAAAUGAUCUGUUGAAUGUUGAUCCUUAGACAUUGUGCGGCGACACUUGUCUCCAAAAGCUUUUGUAAUAAACGGAAUAUGCGGUAUGAUAAUUGACCUGACUCCUGG